This 497-nucleotide ribosomal RNA is filed under the name uncultured bacterium. RNAcentral's name for it is "partial 16S ribosomal RNA". It matches the Rfam family "Bacterial small subunit ribosomal RNA", at positions 28 to 507 of the family's 1533-position model. The record is from RNAcentral.
GAUGAACGCUGGCGGCGUGCCUAAUACAUGCAAGUCGAGCGAACAGACGAGGAGCUUGCUUCUCUGACGUUAGCGGCGGACGGGUGAGUAACACGUGGAUAACCUACCUAUAAGACUGGGAUAACUUCGGGAAACCGGAGCUAAUACCGGAUAAUAUAUUGAACCGCAUGGUUCAAUAGUGAAAGACGGUUUUGCUGUCACUUAUAGAUGGAUCCGCGCCGCAUUAGCUAGUUGGUAAGGUAACGGCUUACCAAGGCAACGAUGCAUAGCCGACCUGAGAGGGUGAUCGGCCACACUGGAACUGAGACACGGUCCAGACUCCUACGGGAGGCAGCAGUAGGGAAUCUUCCGCAAUGGGCGAAAGCUUGACGGAGCAACGCCGCGUGAGUGAUGAAGGUCUUCGGAUCGUAAAACUCUGUUAUUAGGGAAGAACAAAUGUGUAAGUAACUAUGCACGUCUUGACGGUACCUAAUCAGAAAGCCACGGCUAACUACGUG